Long non-coding RNA from Columba livia (rock pigeon), 1192 nucleotides. RefSeq lists it as uncharacterized. The record is from RefSeq and is a predicted model, not a curated record. Lineage: Eukaryota; Metazoa; Chordata; Aves; Columbiformes; Columbidae. The transcript is spliced from 3 exons.
AUGUGGAAUCCCUGUAACAUGUUGUACUCCCCAUAACUGACAGAAUUUACGCAUCUUCUCACUACAAUAAGCUGGCCCAUUAUCCGUUUUAAUCUGUGCUGGUACCCCCAUUACAGCAAAACACGCCGUCAAGUGACGAAUCACAUGACUAGCUUUUUCUCCUGCCUGUGGCGUUGCCCAUACAAAAUGACUAUAUGUAUCAACUGUAAUAUGUACAUAUUUGAGCCUACCCAUUGAGGGCACAUGCGUCACGUCCAUUUGCCAUAUCUCAUUAGGACCCAACCCCCUAGGAUUAACCCCUACGCCUAGACCAGAACCAUGAUGACUACACUGAGGGCAAGUCCGUACAAUUCCCUUAGCUUCCUCUACAGUGAUCUUAAACUGUGAAUGUAAUCCUUUCGCAUUCUGAUGGAACACACUAUGUGAUUCUCUAGCCUUGACAAAAUCACUAACAGGGGCAGAACAUGCUACCAACCUAUCUGCUCUAGCAUUCCCUUCCCCAAGGCCACAAUCCCACAUAUGACUACGGAUGUGAAUCACUGCAUAUGGUUUUGUUCUUCCUUGAAUUAAUGUACGCAACUGUCUAAACAGUUCUCCCAAGCGCAGUUGCUUAACAUCCUUAAUCUGAGAAUCUUCUAUCCUGUGUAACACACCCGCGACAUACAGCGAAUCGGUCACAAUAUUAAUUGUUUCCUCUCUCCACUUCCCCAUGGCCCAUACAACAGCAGCAAGCUCCAAUGUCUGCAAGGAAUCUCCCGGAACAGCUUCCAGCAAGUGGUGGUGCCACUCACCACAAGCGAUCCAGGAGACAAGGAUAUAGUUGUAGCUGAUGAGAAUAAACACUCACACAACUCCUCGCUAUUCUGAAGAGAGAUCCACCGGAGUGGAGGGAUCGGUUCCACGCAGCAAUGGUCGUAACACCUCUAACUGCGUAUUGGUAAUACCCACGACAGGCCUUAACCAUUGUAAAUCCCCCAUGAGUUUCUGAACAUCAUGAAGUGUCCUAAUAUCUGUGGUAAUAUGCGGUUUUUGCGGUCGAAUUUGGGAGUCAGUAAUUUUCCACCCUAAGUACAACCACGGUUCUUGUCGCUGAAUUUUUUCCUUAGCAAUUACUAAACCCUCCUUAUACAACUGACAAUGUAAAAAUUGCAAUUGUUGCUCAGUAAAGUCUUGUUCUUGUGCAAUAAGAAUA